Molecule: long non-coding RNA, 1300 nt
Filed under: Pogona vitticeps (central bearded dragon)
Lineage: Eukaryota; Metazoa; Chordata; Lepidosauria; Squamata; Agamidae
Description: lncRNA (ENSPVIG00000010053.1)
Source: RNAcentral
CACUUCCAAAAUUCGUUCAGCUCCUUCUGCCUCCGUCCCCCUCCCCAAAUGGCAGUGUCACACUCUUUUGGGCUACAGCUUGGGGAUUCUGGGGUUUGUUGUUUCGAAAAAAAGGAAACGUUCCUGCACUCUUGUUAAAGGUCAAUGAAAUGGGCUAGAAAGAACCUUAGAAGGCGGGAAGGAGUUCCCAGAGGGGGGGUGGAAAGUCUGCGGGCAAAAAAGCAACACAAAAAUUGUGACGCUGGUGACUUCGCAAAGAUCUGUCCUCUGAAGAUGCUGGCCACAGAGACUGGCGAAACGUUAGGAAGAACAACCUUCAGAACACAGCCAAAGAGCCCGAAAAACCCACACCAACCAUCAUCAUAACUACUCCCGAGUAGGAUCACUGCCAGAGGUAAAAAAGCACAGGUUUCAGAAAGCACCUUCCCAUUUGAGAAGCCCCAGGACAAACGCUGGUUUCUCUGAAAGUGGAGGGUCAUCCCUCGUGGCAGACGCCGGCUUUUGACAUCACACUGGGAAGUUCAGUCCCUGUGCCUCUUUCCACCACCUUGUCUGGAGACAGCCAGGUGAGUCUCCUUGCAACUGCCGGAGAGGAGAUGCAACCAGGAAGUGCCUGCCGCCCCACCUGGGCAAGAGAGCAAACAAGCCGCCAGCCAGCCAGUCAGCCGCCCACGCUUCACCUCUCCAGCCUCCACGCCUGUUCUGGGGAGCUUCCUCACUAAAAACUGUGGCCUCCACAGCGGGGGACCCCUGGCCUUGCCCGGCAGACGAGACACUCAGACGGAGGAUGGCUCCUCCACCACCCCGAAGAGCGGAGCCUGUAGCCUCAGAAGCCCCGGAGAACCCGUCGGCCCUCCUCUUGGGGAGUUUGGCGUCCGUGGCCCCUGUCAUCCUGACGAUCCUUCUGCUGCUUCUCUGCUUCCACUUUAAAAGCAAAAAGCGGCAGUUCUCAACCGGAGAUCCCACGAGGGACCGAAACACCUCCGUGCUGCUUCGCAUGAUUGGAGGACAAAACGAGCCGAAUGCAGGAGCAACGCAUCUGGAGAAUGGAGGACUCUGCCAAGGAGUCCACACGGACAAGGCCAGAACAUUCCAGAGUGAAGUGAAACUGGAGACGCCGGGGAUAUGUUUGCACGUUCCUGUUUUCGAGGACUUUAUGCUCUCCUGGCAUUAUUUGCAAAUAAAGCAGCCACUGGAGAAAGGCGUGAAGUCUCCAGUUCCUGGCAAAAACUAAGCCCUGCAGUUUUGUGCUGGGAACAUUUUACUGCUCUGAGUUGGGAAGGGAAUGUGUCACAUGAGC